GGUAGCGAAAUUCCUUGUCGGGUAAGUUCCGACCCGCACGAAAGGCGUAAUGAUUUGAGCGCUGUCUCGACAAUGCAUCCGGUGAAAUUGAAGUACCAGUGAAGAUGCUGGUUACCUGCGCCAGGACGGAAAGACCCCAUGGAGCUUUACUCCAGUCUGGUACUGGGACUCGGUAUUGCAUGUACAGGAUAGGUGGGAGGCUAGGAGAUGGUAACGCCAGUUGCCAUGGAGCCGCUGUUGGGAUACCACCCUUGCAGUAUUGGGUUUCUAACCAGCCGCCGUGACCCGGCGGUGGGACAAUGCCAGACGGGGAGUUUGACUGGGGCGGUCGCCUCCGAAAGGGUAUCGGAGGCGCUCAAAGGUUCCCUCAGAAUGGUUGGAAACCAUUCGAAGAGUGCAAAGGCAGAAGGGAGCUUGACUGCGACACCGACGGGUGGAGCAGGUACGAAAGUAGGACUUAGUGAUCCGGUGGUAUUAAGUGGGAAUGCCAUCGCUCAACGGAUAAAAGCUACCCUGGGAUAACAGGCUUAUCACUCCCAAGAGUUCACAUCGACGGAGUGGUUUGGCACCUCGAUGUCGGCUCAUCGCAUCCUGGGGCUGUAGUAGGUCCCAAGGGUUGGGCUGUUCGCCCAUUAAAGCGGUACGCGAGCUGGGUUCAGAACGUCGUGAGACAGUUCGGUCCCUAUCCGUCGCGGGCGCAGGAAAUUUGAGAGGAGCUGUCCUUAGUACGAGAGGACCGGGAUGGACGCACCGCUGGUGUACCAGUUGUUCUGCCAAGGGCAUCGCUGGGUAGCUAUGUGCGGACGGGAUAAGUGCUGAAAGCAUCUAAGCAUGAAGCCCCUCUCAAGAUGAGAUUUCCCAUUCCGCAAGGAAGUAAGAUCCCUGAAAGAUGAUCAGGUUGAUAGGUCUGAGGUGGAAGUGUGGCGACACAUGGAGCUGACAGAUACUAAUCGAUCGAGG
Molecule: ribosomal RNA, 960 nt
Filed under: human gut metagenome
Description: bacterial LSU rRNA
Rfam family: Bacterial large subunit ribosomal RNA
Source: RNAcentral